CAUGAGCACUUGUAAGCGUCUGAUUGAAGAUGAAUGAAAUACCAAAAAGUGAAACUACGCCUGACAAUUAUUGAACAGUUGUUUUUGUAGAUAAGUAUUAGUGGUAUGGAAGUGACAAUAAAUAAAUUGUAUAAAUUACAUACGGGCAGAUCAUACAAAAAUGAUAACAAUGUUAUAAAUUAACACGAACCCCCCAAAAAAACAAAAAAACAACAACAACAACCUUACCGAAGACCGAGUUGUUCAUGAGUUUGAAGAAGUUCUUCUCGUAAGCAGUCUUGGCUUGUUGUCGCAUUUUGGUGUUGAACUCAACGUAGGGUUUCAUGAAAGCCUCUUGUUGGAACUCUAAUACUUUAUGUAUUUUUUCAAUUUUAGACCGAGUUGGAGAUACAGUUGCAGGUUGCGAUAGUGAAGUACAUAAUUCUGUUUGUUUUCUAAAGUGAAGGUUGACUGUUUUGUAAACUUCCAUCACAUUUAGAGAGUAAGUAUUCACACUUUGAUUUAGGAAUUAACACUAAUUCUUGAGCCAUGAUUCACUGGGUUUAAUUAACGCUAAAAACUGUUUGAAAUAUUUUAACAGAAUGGCUUUCCUCCUUUUUUGAGAGAGUCUUUUGGAUAUUACUUUACGUAUGACAUGUCUAUAUCGUUUCAAGUUCUUUUUAUCCUUUUCUGGAAUGACAAGAUUUCCCCUGAUAGCAUUGUAAAUCACCUCUAUAAGUGCAGCCAAUUGAGAUUUUGUUAAGUUUUUUAUCAACAUUUUUUGUUGUUUUUCAUUGGUGUUGAUCAUAAAUUUUAAAAAAUGUCUCUCCUUCUGUAGUUUAUCUUCCAUUUUUCUCCUUUUCAGGUAGAAAUACAAUGGGGCUUUGAUGUGGAAAGAUGUCUGUACGAAGUUUAUAUAACGGGUUAGAAUGUGGACUUACAUCCACCAGAAGCUUGGGGAUGUCUCGCCAGAACUUAGACAGAAUGCUGGAGAACUACGAUACAACUUCACAUUAACAUCCACUUGGUUUAACAGAUCGAGAUAGUCCAUCGAAUUCUGACCACUGAUUUGAAACUCAAUGGGAGUAUCAUCCGACACUUGGGAUAUUGGACGAAUCUCUUGAUAAUGGACAUCAUUCACCGCAACUUGUGUAGGAGCUCACUUUUCGCCUGGUUUACUGUCUGUUCCGAUGGGGAAACUGUGCUGAUUGUCAUACCAUUACUUCCCAUCUUCGACUUGUGUGGAAUGGCAAAUCCCCUCCCAACUUGAGAUUUGUUAUUUUUGAAAUAGUCUAUCCACAUUUGUGGGUUCGAUCAUUCGGGGAUAUCGCCAUAUUGAAAACCCGCCAGAGGUUCGGUCCACGUCCAUGGUGCUCGGGAUGAGUCAUUGGAGGACGAAGAUCGGGUGUCCUUAUGCUGCCAUGAAAUGUCGUUUUUAUGAUGUCCAAUUAUGUUCAAAAAUAAACAACUUGGAGAAUGUG
Mya arenaria is the source of this 1460-nucleotide long non-coding RNA. RefSeq lists it as uncharacterized. The record is from RefSeq and is a predicted model, not a curated record. The transcript has 6 exons. NCBI's taxonomy places the organism in Eukaryota, Metazoa, Mollusca, Bivalvia, Myida, Myidae.